UCGAGAAUUUUUCUCAAUGGGCGAAAGCCUGAAGGAGCGACGCCGCGUGGGGGAUGAAGGGCUUCGGCCCGUAAACCCCUGUCAUUUGCGAACAAACCUUGCCACUUAAAACAUGAAGAGCUGAUUGUAGCGAAAGAGGAAGGGACGGCUAACUCUGUGCCAGCAGCCGCGGUAAUACAGAGGUCCCAAGCGUUGUUCGGAUUCACUGGGCGUAAAGGGUGCGUAGGUGGUCGGGUAAGUCUGAUGUGAAAUCUCCGAGCUUAACUCGGAAAUGGCAUUGGAUACUAUUCGGCUGGAGGGUUGGAGGGGGGACUGGAAUUCUCGGUGUAGCAGUGAAAUGCGUAGAUAUCGAGAGGAACACCAGUGGCGAAGGCGAGUCCCUGGACAACUCCUGACACUGAGGCACGAAAGCUAGGGGAGCAAACAGGAUUAGAUACCCCUGUAGUCC
Molecule: ribosomal RNA, 448 nt
Filed under: uncultured bacterium
Lineage: Bacteria
Description: bacterial SSU rRNA
Rfam family: Bacterial small subunit ribosomal RNA
Source: RNAcentral